Molecule: ribosomal RNA, 770 nt
Filed under: uncultured Flavobacteriaceae bacterium
Lineage: Bacteria; Pseudomonadati; Bacteroidota; Flavobacteriia; Flavobacteriales; Flavobacteriaceae
Description: bacterial SSU rRNA
Rfam family: Bacterial small subunit ribosomal RNA
Source: RNAcentral
AUGCCGCGUGCAGGAUGACGGCCCUAUGGGUUGUAAACUGCUUUUAUAUAGGAAGAAACCUUUUCACGUGUGAGAAGCUGACGGUMCUAUAAGAAUAAGGMCCGGCUACUCCGUGCCAGCAGCCGCGGUAAUACGGAGGGUCCGAGCGUUAUCCGGAAUCAUUGGGCUUAAAGGGUCCGUAGGCGGGAAUCUAAGUCAGUGGUGAAAUCUUGCAGCUCAACUGUAAAAUUGCCAUUGAUACUGGAUUUCUUGAAUUAGAUGUGAAGUGGUUAGAAUGUGUAGUGUAGCGGUGAAAUGCAUAGAUAUUACACAGAAUACCAAUUGCGAAGGCRGAUCACUAACACUAUAUUGACGCUGAGGGACGAAAGCGUGGGGAGCGAACAGGAUUAGAUACCCUGGUAGUCCACGCCGUAAACGAUGGAUACUAGCUGUUCGAUCUUCGGAUUGAGUGGCUAAGCGAAAGUGAUAAGUAUCCCACCUGGGGAGUACGUUCGCAAGAAUGAAACUCAWAGGAAUUGACGGGGGCCCGCACAAGCGGUGGAGCAUGUGGUUUAAUUCKAUGAUACGCGAGGAACCUUACCAGGGCUUAAAUGUAKUCUGACAGCUUUAGAGAUAGAGUUUUCUUCKGACAGAUUACAARGUGCUGCAUGGUUGUCGUCAGCUCGUGCCGUGAGGUGUCAGGUUAAGUCCUAUAACRAGCGCAACCCCUGUUGUUAGUUGCCAGCGAGUAAUGUCGGGAACUCUAACAAGACUGCCGGUGCAAACCGUGA